AGAGUUUGAUCCUGGCUCAGGAUGAACGCUAGCGAUAGGCCUAACACAUGCAAGUCGAGGGGCAGCACAUGAGUAGCAAUACGAUGGUGGCGACCGGCGCACGGGUGAGUAACACGUAUGCAACCUACCUUUAACAAGGUGAUACCCCGUUGAAAGGCGGACUAAUAACCUAUAAAACAGGGCUCCCGCAUGGGAAUAUUUGUUAAAGAUUUAUCGGUUAAAGAUGGGCAUGCGUUCCAUUAGAUAGUUGGUGAGGUAACGGCUCACCAAGUCAACGAUGGAUAGGGGAACUGAGAGGUUUAUCCCCCACAUUGGAACUGAGACACGGUCCAAACUCCUACGGGAGGCAGCAGUGAGGAAUAUUGGUCAAUGGAGGCAACUCUGAACCAGCCAAGUCGCGUGAAGGAAGACUGCCCUAAGGGUUGUAAACUUCUUUUGUAAGGGAAUAAAGUGUAGUACGUGUACUAUUUUGCAUGUACCUUACGAAUAAGGAUCGGCUAACUCCGUGCCAGCAGCCGCGGUAAUACGGAGGAUCCGAGUGUUAUCCGGAUUUAUUGGGUUUAAAGGGUGCGCAGGCGGAAGAUUAAGUCGGCGGUGAAAUUUUGCAGCUCAACUGUAAAAGUGCCUUCGAAACUGGUUUUCUUGAGUGUAGAUGAAGUAGGCGGAAUUUGUGGUGUAGCGGUGAAAUGCUUAGAUAUCACAAAGAACUCCGAUUGCGCAGGCAGCUUACUAAACUACAACUGACGCUCAGGCACGAAGGCGUGGGUAUCGAACAGGAUUAGAUACCCUGGUAGUCCACGCAGUAAACGAUGAUUACUCGCUGUUUGCGAUAUACAGUAAGCGGCCAAGCGAAAGCGUUAAGUAAUCCACCUGGGGAGUACGUUCGCAAGAAUGAAACUCAAAGGAAUUGACGGGGGCCCGCACAAGCGGAGGAACAUGUGGUUUAAUUCGAUGAUACGCGAGGAACCUUACCCGGGCUUGAAAUGUAUCUGACCGGCACAGAGACGUGCCUUCCCUUCGGGGCAGAUAUGUAGGUGCUGCAUGGUUGUCGUCAGCUCGUGCCGUGAGGUGUCGGCUUAAGUGCCAUAACGAGCGCAACCCUCAUCAUUAGUUACCAUCAGGUUAAGCUGGGGACUCUAAUGAGACUGCCGGUGAUAAAUCGGAGGAAGGUGGGGACGACGUCAAAUCAUCAUGCCCCUUAUGUCCUGGGCUACACACGUACUACAAUGGCGAUUACAGUGGGAAGCAAGAUCGCAAGGUGGAGCAAAUCCCCAAAAAUCGCCCCAGUUCAGAUUGCAGGCUGCAACUCGCCUGCAUGAAGUCGGAAUUGCUAGUAAUGGCAGGUCAGCAUACUGCCGUGAAUACGUUCCCGGGCCUUGUACACACCGCCCGUCACACCAUGAGAGCUGACAACACCCGAAGUCGGUAGUUUAACCGUAAGGAGGACGCCGCCGAAGGUGGGGUUGGUGAUUGGGGUGAAGUCGUAACAAGGUAACCGUA
RNAcentral lists this ribosomal RNA (1500 nucleotides) under iron-reducing bacterium enrichment culture clone HN9. RNAcentral describes it as "partial 16S ribosomal RNA". It matches the Rfam family "Bacterial small subunit ribosomal RNA". The record is from RNAcentral.